This 245-nucleotide ribosomal RNA is filed under the name uncultured Filimonas sp. RNAcentral describes it as "partial 16S ribosomal RNA". It matches the Rfam family "Bacterial small subunit ribosomal RNA", at positions 524 to 768 of the family's 1533-position model. Lineage: Bacteria; Pseudomonadati; Bacteroidota; Chitinophagia; Chitinophagales; Chitinophagaceae. The record is from RNAcentral.
UACGGAGGGUGCAAGCGUUAUCCGGAUUUACUGGGUUUAAAGGGUGCGUAGGCGGGCCUUUAAGUCAGUGGUGAAAUCCCCGGGCCUAACCCGGGAACUGCCAUUGAUACUAUAGGUCUUGAAUUCAGUUGAGGUGGGCGGAAUGUGUCGUGUAGCGGUGAAAUGCUUAGAUAUGACACAGAACACCGAUUGCGAAGGCAGCUCGCUAAACUGACAUUGACGCUGAGGCACGAAAGCGUGGGGAU